GACGAACGCUGGCGGCGUGCUUAAUACAUGCAAGUCGAGCGAACAGACGAGGUGCUUGCGUAUCCGACGGUAGAGCGGGACGGUAGCGUGAGACUAGGAUAACCUACCUAUUAGACUGGGAUAACUUCGGGAAGCCGGAGCUAAGACCGGAGAAUAUAUUGCACGGCAUGGUUCAGUAGUGAUAGACGGUUUUGCUGUCACUUAUAGAUGGAUCCGCGCCGCAUUAGCUAGUUGGUAAGGUAAGGGUUUACGAAGGCAACGAUGCGUAGCCGACCGGAGCGAGUGAUCGGCCACACUGGAGGGGGGACACGGUCCAGACUCCUACGGGAGGCAGCAGUAGGCUACCCGCCGCAGUGGGCGAGAGCUUGACGGAGCAACGCGGCGUGAGAUAUGACGGUCUUCGGAUCGUAAAACUCUGUUAUUAGGGAAAAACAAAUGUGUAAGUAACUAUGCACGUCUUGACGGUACCUAAUCAGAAAGCCACGGCUAACUACGUG
RNAcentral lists this ribosomal RNA (497 nucleotides) under uncultured bacterium. RNAcentral describes it as "partial 16S ribosomal RNA". It matches the Rfam family "Bacterial small subunit ribosomal RNA", at positions 28 to 507 of the family's 1533-position model. The record is from RNAcentral.